RNAcentral lists this ribosomal RNA (292 nucleotides) under uncultured bacterium. Its description in RNAcentral is "partial 16S ribosomal RNA". It matches the Rfam family "Bacterial small subunit ribosomal RNA", at positions 505 to 796 of the family's 1533-position model. The record is from RNAcentral.
GUGCCAGCCGCCGCGGUAAUACGGAGGGUGCAAGCGUUAAUCGGAAUUACUGGGCGUAAAGCGCGCGUAGGCGGUUAGGUAAGUCGAUUGUGAAAUCCCCGGGCUCAACCUGGGAAUUGCAGUCGAGACUGUCUGACUAGAGUGUAGGAGAGGGUGGUGGAAUUCCCGGUGUAGCGGUGAAAUGCGUAGAUAUCGGGAGGAACAUCAGUGGCGAAGGCGACCACCUGGCCUAACACUGACGCUGAGGUGCGAAAGCGUGGGUAGCAAACAGGAUUAGAUACCCUGGUAGUCC